Molecule: ribosomal RNA, 402 nt
Filed under: Triticum aestivum (bread wheat)
Lineage: Eukaryota; Viridiplantae; Streptophyta; Magnoliopsida; Poales; Poaceae
Description: partial small subunit ribosomal RNA
Source: RNAcentral
AUGCAGAUGAAGACAGCAUAUAUAUGUGCAAGCAAGCUUUGUGGGUUUACCCUUGAAGAAGAUUUGCGUGGCACACUCUGCUUCAGUUUUGAUUCUGGUUCUGGGGCUUAUGACCACCACUUCGCCAUCAAGAUGAAUGACUUGUGUAUUUAUACUCCCGGUUAUCUUUCUUGUCGUGCCAAAGUUAACGAGGCCAAAUUUCUAAUAAGGAGUCUCAUCUUUUUUUUUCCUGUAUUCCCUCCUGUAUUGUUUUCAAACCUAAACAAAGUUUUGUUUUUGCAAAAAGGAUCCAAUCUAUUAUAUAGAUUCACCGGAAGUACAAGCACCUCAAACAUAAUAAAAAUUACGUCGGGGUCCAUGGACCACCGAACGAUCAUUGCCGCCGCCAGAACGAGUCGCUGA